AAUAUCUAAACGGUGAGAUUNNAUAUNNNNGCAAUUNAAUGUGCACUUCUCGCUUAGUAAGACGCUGUGAUCCAUUAGAAAUUGACCGUUCCAACGGUUGUUUGGUUAUCAAUAGGCCGGCUUAAAGUUCAUCGAUACAAAUAACUUGAUCUUUUAUGGUUGGGUAUAUUGUUUGGUGAGUUUGCUGUGUCCUGUAUAGCUGUCUGAUGGAUUUUAAAGGUCAUAUCAUUGAUGUUUUUCAUCNCUCNCACNUGAGAAUGGAUAUGUGCCCGAUCAACAGCGGUUAAAUUUGGGAUACCUUUUGGACCCGUCUUGAAACACGGACCAAGGAGUCUAUCUAGUAUGCAAGUAAAUGAGUAUGUUAAACUUAUUUGCGUAAAAAACUUGACUGUUAUGGGAUUACAAGUCGACAUUUAUGUCGGCUUCUCCNUCCCGGGGUAUUUUUAUCAACAUAUGCAGCAAUGUAUAUGGAAAAUAUACCAUGAGCAUACUGGAUAUGACCCGAAAGAUGGUGAACUAUGCUUGAUCAGGUUGAAGUCAGGGGAAACCCUGNNGGAGGACCGANNCAAUUCUGACGUGCAAAUCGAUUGUCAGAAUUGAGCAUAGGGGCGAAAGANNAAUCNANCCNUCUAGUAGC
Molecule: ribosomal RNA, 637 nt
Filed under: Paracricotopus irregularis
Lineage: Eukaryota; Metazoa; Arthropoda; Insecta; Diptera; Chironomidae
Description: partial 28S ribosomal RNA
Rfam family: Eukaryotic large subunit ribosomal RNA
Source: RNAcentral